RNAcentral lists this ribosomal RNA (504 nucleotides) under uncultured bacterium. Its description in RNAcentral is "partial 16S ribosomal RNA". It matches the Rfam family "Bacterial small subunit ribosomal RNA", at positions 29 to 523 of the family's 1533-position model. The record is from RNAcentral.
AUUGAACGCUGGCGGCAGGCCUAACACAUGCAAGUCGGACGGUAGCACAGAGAGCUUGCUCUCGGGUGACGAGUGGCGGACGGGUGAGUAAUGUCUGGGGAUCUGCCCGAUAGAGGGGGAUAACCACUGGAAACGGUGGCUAAUACCGCAUAACGUCGCAAGACCAAAGAGGGGGACCUUCGGGCCUCUCACUAUCGGAUGAACCCAGAUGGGAUUAGCUAGUAGGCGGGGUAACGGCCCACCUAGGCGACGAUCCCUAGCUGGUCUGAGAGGAUGACCAGCCACACUGGAACUGGGAAACGGUCCAGACUCCUACGGGAGGCAGCAGUGGGGAAUAUUGCACAAUGGGCGCAAGCCUGAUGCAGCCAUGCCGCGUGUAUGAAGAAGGCCUUCGGGUUGUAAAGUACUUUCAGCGGGGAGGAAGGCGAUGUGGUUAAUAACCGCGUCGAUUGACGUUACCCGCAGAAGAAGCACCGGCUAACUCCGUGCCAGCCGCCGCAGUAA